GGAGGUGUCGCAUAGUGGUCAAUUGCACACGCUUGGAAAGCGUGAGCCUCACGGCUUCGCAGGUUCAAAUCCUGUCACCUCCG
Molecule: transfer RNA, 83 nt
Filed under: Patescibacteria group bacterium
Lineage: Bacteria
Also listed under: 1 other name
Description: tRNA-Ser
Rfam family: tRNA
About the family: Transfer RNA (tRNA) molecules are approximately 80 nucleotides in length. Their secondary structure includes four short double-helical elements and three loops (D, anti-codon, and T loops). Further hydrogen bonds mediate the characteristic L-shaped molecular structure. tRNAs have two regions of fundamental functional importance: the anti-codon, which is responsible for specific mRNA codon recognition, and the 3' end, to which the tRNAs corresponding amino acid is attached (by aminoacyl-tRNA synthetases). tRNAs cope with the degeneracy of the genetic code in two manners: having more than one tRNA (with a specific anti-codon) for a particular amino acid; and 'wobble' base-pairing, i.e. permitting non-standard base-pairing at the 3rd anti-codon position.
Source: RNAcentral